Molecule: ribosomal RNA, 479 nt
Filed under: uncultured bacterium
Lineage: Bacteria
Description: bacterial SSU rRNA
Rfam family: Bacterial small subunit ribosomal RNA
Source: RNAcentral
GAUGAACGCUGGCGGCGUGUUAACACAUGCAAGUCGAGCGAGAAUCCUGCAGAACAACUCUUCGGAUGAGUUCAGCAGGAGGAAAGCGGCGGACGGGUGAGUAACGCGUAGGCAACCUGCCCUUUGCAGAGGGAUAGCCUCGGGAAACCGGGAUUAAAACCUCAUAAAGCCAAAUGGUGACAUCAUCAAAUGGCCAAAGAUUUAUCGGCAAGGGAUGGGCCUGCGUCUGAUUAGUUAGUUGGUGGGGUAACGGCCUACCAAGGCGACGAUCAGUAGCCGACCUGAGAGGGUGAUCGGCCACAUUGGAACUGAGACACGGUCCAAACUCCUACGGGAGGCAGCAGUGGAGAAUCUUGCACAAUGGGCGAAAGCCUGAUGCAGCAACGCCGCGUGAAGGAUGAAGGCCCUUGGGUCGUAAACUUCUGUUCUAAGGGAAGAUAAUGACGGUACCUUAGGAGCAAGUCCCGGCUAACUACGUG